This 380-nucleotide ribosomal RNA is filed under the name uncultured eukaryote. Its description in RNAcentral is "partial 18S ribosomal RNA". It matches the Rfam family "Eukaryotic small subunit ribosomal RNA", at positions 592 to 976 of the family's 1831-position model. The record is from RNAcentral.
CAAUAGCGUAUAUUAAAGUUGUUGCAGUUAGAACGCUCGUAGUCGGAUUUCGGGGCGGGCCGACCGGUCUGCCGAUGGGUACGCACUGGUCGGCGCGUCCUUCCUUCCGGAGACCGUGCCUACUCUUAACUGAGCGGGGGCGGGAGACGGAUCGUUUACUUUGAAAAAAUCAGAGUGUUUCAAGCAGGCAGCUCGCUCUUGCAUGGAUUAGCAUGGGAUAAUGAAAUAGGACUUUGGUGCUAUUUUGUUGGUUUCGAACACCGAAGUAAUGAUUAACAGGGACAGUCAGGGACACUCGUAUUCCGCCGAGAGAGGUGAAAUUCUCAGACCAGCGGAAGACGAACUACUGCGAAAGCAUUUGCCAGGGAUGUUUUCACUGA